GACAUUCAAUUAUAUUUUUGUUUCUGCUACAGCCUUAGCAGCCCUGGAAUCUUUAAAUCUCAACAGGUGCUGUCUUUCUGAUGAAGAAUUUGAGAACCUCUCUAGUCUUAAAACCUUGAAGAGGCUAAGUCUGGCAUUUAACAGGAUCACAGAUGCCUGUUUAGUACAUCUGAAAGGUUUAGUAAAUUUGGAGUAUUUAAAUUUGGAUUCCUGCAAAAUAGGCAAUAAAGGGCUUGCCAAUUUGACAGGCCUCACUCUCUUGAGAAGUCUAGUGUUGUCAGACACUGAAAUUGGUUCCAGCGGGCUGCGUCAUAUAUCAGGUACAUGGAAAAAAUCUUAUUAAAUAAAAAUUCAAACCCGGUCAAAUUAUUGUGUUG
Arachis ipaensis is the source of this 377-nucleotide long non-coding RNA. RefSeq lists it as uncharacterized. Lineage: Eukaryota; Viridiplantae; Streptophyta; Magnoliopsida; Fabales; Fabaceae. The record is from RefSeq and is a predicted model, not a curated record.